This 690-nucleotide ribosomal RNA is filed under the name Zunongwangia sp. Its description in RNAcentral is "bacterial SSU rRNA". It matches the Rfam family "Bacterial small subunit ribosomal RNA", at positions 593 to 1285 of the family's 1533-position model. Lineage: Bacteria; Pseudomonadati; Bacteroidota; Flavobacteriia; Flavobacteriales; Flavobacteriaceae. The record is from RNAcentral.
GGUGAAAGUCUGCANCUUAACUGUAGAACUGCCAUUGAUACUGUAGACCUUGAAUUAGUAUGAAGUGGUUAGAAUGUGUAGUGUAGCGGUGAAAUGCAUAGAUAUUACACAGAAUACCGAUUGCGAAGGCAGAUCACUAAUACUAUAUUGACGCUGAUGGACGAAAGCGUAGGUAGCGAACAGGAUUAGAUACCCUGGUAGUCUACGCCGUAAACGAUGGUUACUAGCUGUCCGGCCUAAUUGAGGGCUGGGUGGUUAAGCGAAAGUGAUAAGUAACCCACCUGGGGAGUACGUUCGCAAGAAUGAAACUCAAAGGAAUUGACGGGGGCCCGCACAAGCGGUGGAGCAUGUGGUUUAAUUCGAUGAUACGCGAGGAACCUUACCAGGGCUUAAAUGCAGUCUGACGUAUUUGGAAACAGAUAUUUCUUCGGACAGAUUGCAAGGUGCUGCAUGGUUGUCGUCAGCUCGUGCCGUGAGGUGUCAGGUUAAGUCCUAUAACGAGCGCAACCCCUGUGGUUAGUUGCCAGCACGUAAUGGUGGGAACUCUAGCCAGACUGCCGGUGCAAACCGUGAGGAAGGUGGGGAUGACGUCAAAUCAUCACGGCCCUUACGUCCUGGGCCACACACGUGCUACAAUGGUAGGGACAGAGAGCAGCCACUUCGCGAGAAGGAGCGAAUCUAUNAACCCUA